CAGUAGCCGCGGGAAUACGUAGGUGGCAAGCGUUGUCCGGAAUUAUUGGGCGUAAAGGGCUCGCAGGCGGUUUCUUAAGUCUGAUGUGAAAGCCCCCGGCUCAACCGGGGAGGGUCAUUGGAAACUGGGAAACUUGAGUGCAGAAGAGGAGAGUGGAAUUCCACGUGUAGCGGUGAAAUGCGUAGAGAUGUGGAGGAACACCAGUGGCGAAGGCGACUCUCUGGUCUGUAACUGACGCUGAGGAGCGAAAGCGUGGGGAGCGAACGGGAUUAGAUACCCGGGUAGUCCCUGUCUCUUAUAC
This 301-nucleotide ribosomal RNA is filed under the name uncultured bacterium. RNAcentral describes it as "partial 16S ribosomal RNA". It matches the Rfam family "Bacterial small subunit ribosomal RNA", at positions 509 to 807 of the family's 1533-position model. The record is from RNAcentral.